Molecule: long non-coding RNA, 500 nt
Organism: Lolium rigidum
Lineage: Eukaryota; Viridiplantae; Streptophyta; Magnoliopsida; Poales; Poaceae
Exons: 3
Source: RefSeq, a predicted model, not a curated record
AAGGCGUCCCUGUGGGGUUAUAUUCACAGUGGCAUGCUUUACUACAGCUUGCAGAUUUUUAUUUAAUGCGGGCUUGACCUGGAGCUUGCGGUCAUGCAUAUCAGCUGGUCAAAACUAUGAUUUGAGGGUGGAUCAAGCUUUUUCUGGUUUGAACCUUAUGCUGAUAAGAUCAGAAGCUUUAUUACCAUGAACUGCACACACUGGAUAAAUUUGAAGCCGAUCAGUCGAAGGAAAUUUCAUGAAGAAAAGUAGAUGCGAGCAGCUCAACGAGAUUAAUAUCCUUUCCAGUCAAGAAGAACAGAAAAUAUAGCUUUUUCCUGGUACUAAAGUUGUCAAGGAUAUAUGUAUCUUGCAUGGUGGCUCCGCUCUUUAUGCAUCAUUGGGCACAAGGCUAUCACUUAGGUUUUUUGUGAAUUUAUGAAAAAAUUGUGGUUCCUUUUAUGUUUUGUUGUUGCCUUCGAGCUUGUUUGUCCUUAUUUCUUUUCAACACUUCUCAUUGU